RNAcentral lists this long non-coding RNA (12951 nucleotides) under Phaseolus vulgaris (common bean). RNAcentral describes it as "long non-coding RNA (PVUL_LNC003714)". Lineage: Eukaryota; Viridiplantae; Streptophyta; Magnoliopsida; Fabales; Fabaceae. The record is from RNAcentral.
ACAACUUUAUUUUCCUUCUUCCAAGAUUUACAUGUCUUGAGUUGAAUAACUCUUACCAUCUUUUUUUAAUCAACAUAACAUUGUUUUCAUAAAUAUUACCAUUACCGUUUCCCCGGAACCAUCCACCAUUGGAUACCCCUCUUGCAUAUUUGGGGGUGGCACGAGGUACUGGUAUGGAAACACUAUCACUGUCUUCACUGUCAGACUGCCAAAACACUUUACCCUUCCGUUUAUGAUCGCAAUGAGGGCACAUGGUAGGCUUUCAAGUCCCAGUUUUAUAGACUUGAUCAAACAUAUAAAGUAAUGCAGAGACAGGAUACUGCUCAGGGCCCUCCACUGUUGUAUCAAUUUUUCCAUUGAAUAAUCUACACUUUGCCACCAGAGAAAGCCCAAUAUCUGUUCCAGUUGAUCUGUCAAAACUUGUUCCGCUGCUCUUGACAAAGUAGUGCGCCACAGUCACCACCGAGGACCCCACCUCCCUCUCUUUUUCUUUGACUCCUUAACAAGAAGACCGCUUCUGCCUCCACUCCCAUACAACUGAACUUCUGUAUCCACAACACCACCCCAUGCAUCAAAACUCUCGUUAUUCUUUGCCCAUGUUUUGAAAUCAGGUAUCAACAACCUGAAACUCUUCAUCCAAAUAUAAUUGGUCUCAUCGAACCCAAUAGAAUACCACGAAUAGAAAUCAAAAGAUAUACGGUCUUGGACGAAAAAUCGUAUUUCUUUGGCCUUGCUAUGUUGAUCAACACCAUAUCUUGUGAAGGAUACCUCACAAGUUUCCUUAUCUACUGUGUAUACCACCUUAAAGGUCUCCUUCACCGCAUCGUCUUUCUCAAAAUCUUUGGACAAGUCGAUGGAAGUGGAUGGUCCCAGCUGUAGAUGGCAGGGAAUUGGAGCAGAUCCAAUAUAAUUAUCGAGAACAACAUCAAGACUGCUUCCCAUCUUGUUAUUUUAUAGGAAAUAGAAUGGAAGGAAUGGAAUGGAUUAGUAGUUUAAGGGUUGAUACUUGAAUGGAAGGAUGUUCACAUGCCAAUGUUAUAUAUAGAGAUGCACACAUUACAUUACAGUAUAAUCUUUGCCCUAGUAAGCGUUAUUCUUACGCACAUUCAUUCUUUCAAUCACAGUCACUGUGGCAUCUAAUUCUCCAUCAUGCAUUACCUUUUACUGUUAAAUAUUCUCCAAUCUUCAACCUCUUUGAUUCUUCAUUCUUCCACUAAUUCAAUUCUUUUCUCAGUGCGGCUCACAACGGGUGUUUGUUUUUUAUGAACCUGUUACAGUUUCAAAACCAUUUUGUAGAUCACUUCAAUAUUUCUGCACAAAACAAUAACUAUGUAAAUGCUACAGCUAAUAGAUAAACAUGCCUCAUAAUUACAGUAAGGGAUGAACUUUUUUAAUAACCAUGAUUAUAUAUUUUAUUACUAGACUAUUAUUUAUGAACUUUAUUGUCUUUUUUUGUGGCUUGUGGCGUGCAGGUGGAGCUUGAACAGUACCCAACGGCACCCCGUAUUGCUUCUCGAAUGCUUUUCACCGUGUUCCCUCAUUCCCUAUAUUCACCAUCUUUUUUUAUUUCACUCUUACUCCUCAAAUGUGCUAAAGUUGGAUUCUUUUGACUUAUACCACGUUCAUAUUGCUGUGGUUGUUAAUGGGUAUUUUUUAUCGUGUGCUUGUCUGGGGAAUUUGGCCACUUUAGUAUAUGCAAUGCAAUGCAACCUGUGUUGGUCAUACUUGCUUCUAUGAUGAUGUGAUUGGGAACAUCUAGUUAUGAUUAUUUUUGGUCAUGACAAUUCUGAUUGGCUUUUGGGUUUUGAGACCAUCUUUGGAGCAUUUACUUGCUGUUCUGUGGCAUGGAUUAGGAAAAGAUGGGGAGGGUAUUUUAGGAAAUCAAUUCAAUUGUGUGCAAGUGUGUGUGGAUUUGCAAAUUAUUUAGGGAAUGUUUUUUUCCAUUUAAAAUAGCUAUAGUAAUUUCCACUUUGCUAAAGUUUAUUUUGUCUGUGUUCACUUCUACGUUGCUUUUCUUUUCUCUUACUUUAUUCUUCUAUAUUUUACUACCAAAUCAAUCUUUUAUUCUCACAUAUCAGUUAUAUAAUAUAAUUCUCUAUCAUAUGCCCAGUGUUAUUCUUGGUCAGAUUAUUUCAAUUACAUGGCACCUAAUUCUCUAUCAUAUUUUCUACUCCACUUUCAUAUUUCUCUUCUCCACUUGUUAAUUCCUUAUUUUUCCAUUGAUUCGUCUAAAUGCAUAUCCAACUUUUGCGAAGCAGACUAUGAAAAUCAUGAGAAACAAGCGUUGGUAUUCUCUACACUAAUUUCCAUUUAACUAUAAACUCAUAGAUAUGAGGUUCUAUGAACUUUUUUUUACCAGUAAGAACUAAAUUAAAGAAAACACUAAAAGGUGAUUCAUGAAAAAAAAAACAGACACUUACUCACACUUGAAUUUCUCUAAAAGAAACACUCUUCUUUGAAAUUCUUCUUUGUUGUAUUUCUUUUCUGUGGUGUAUCUUACAAUUGAGAGAGCAUCCUUUUUAUAGGCUUUAGGAAGCUCUUCUAGAAAAGUCUUCAUUAUGGCCUUAAAACCCCACUAACAACACAAUUAAAAUCCCACUCACAACUUUUGACCUUUUACAUAUCCAAACUCCCAUUCUACUCUUUUCUAGUAACUUCUAACUUUAAAACCCACAAAUUACAUUAAAGUUUAUUCAACAAAACUCCCCCAUAAACUUAAAUGUUUCUACCAUCCAUCAUGCCAAUCAUCUUUUUGAAUUUGUCGAAAAAGACUUUCGGUAGCGGUUUUGUGAAGAUAUCAGCAACUUGAUCUUGACUUGCCACAUGCACCAAUUCCACACUUCCUUUCUUCACAUGAUCACGAAUAAAGUGAAAACGAACGUCAAUAUGUUUGCUUCUUUCAUGGUUCAUUGGGUUCUUUGCCAACUCAAUUGCUGAUUUGUUGUCAACUUGAAUCACAGUUGCAUCUAGUUGCUUUAGCUCCAUCUUCCUAACAAGUUUCUUAGCCAUAUCGCAUGACAUACACACCAAGAUGCUGCCACAUAUUCAGCUUCACACGUCGAUAGCGUCACGAUCGGUUGCUUCUUUGAAAGCCAAGAAAAUGUUGUGUUGCCCAUAAAGAAUACAUAUCCCGAUGUACUUUUUCGAUCAUCUAUGUCUCCUCACCAAUCGCUGUCAGAGUAACCCACCAACUUGUAAUCUUCUGCUUUUGAGUAGAACAAUCCGAGUGAUACAGUACCUUGGAUGUACCGUAGGACUCGCUUUAACGCCUUCCAAUGUGAGUAAACCGGUUCCUCCAUGAAUCGACUUAUGAUGCCGACACUUAAUGAAAGAUCCGGCCUUGUGCAUGUGAGAUAACGAAGGCUUCCUACCAAACUCCGGUAUCUACUUGCAUCGACACGUUCUCCUCCAUCGAACUUUGAGAGUUUUGCACCUGGUUCUAUUGGUAUUGAUACUGGGUUGCAAUUUUCCAUCUUGUACUUCUUCAAAAUCUCCUUUGCAUAUUUCUCCUGUGAUACAAAAAUACCUGUCUCUUUUUGUCUAACUUCCAAGCCAAGGAAAAACUUCAUCAAUCCCAAAUCUGUCAUCUCGAAUUCUCGUCUCAUUGUGUCCUUAAACUCUUCUAUCAUCUCAUUAUUGUUACCCAUAAAAAUGAGAUCAUCAACAUAAAGAGCAACAAAUAUCAUGUUACCUCCACUGUUCUUUGCGUAAAGAGCAUGCUCGUAAGGACUUUGCUUGAACCCGUUCUCCUUGAAGUAUGUAUCGAUACGAGUAUUCCAUGCCCGCGGUGCUUGCUUCAACCCGUAAAGGGCCUUCUUCAAUUUUAGCACCUUCUUCUCCUCUCCGAUUUUCAUGUACCCAGGUGGUUGUUCGAUGUAGACUUCUUCUUCAAGCACACCAUUCAAGAAUGCCGACUUGACAUCCAUUUGAAAUAUCGGCCAUUUAAAUUGAGCCGUUUGGGAAAUGAGCAAUCGAAUUGUCUCCAUUCUUACAACGGGAGCAAACACCUCAUCGUAGNNNNNNNNNNNNNNNNNNNNNNNNNNNNNNNNNNNNNNNNNNNNNNNNNNNNNNNNNNNNNNNNNNNNNNNNNNNNNNNNNNNNNNNNNNNNNNNNNNNNNNNNNNNNNNNNNNNNNNNNNNNNNNNNNNNNNNNNNNNNNNNNNNNNNNNNNNNNNNNNNNNCUUUAAUCUCCUCAUCCAUGGCAGUUUGCCACUUCUUGUCUCGCACCGCCUCUUCAAAGCUGAUAUUUUCAGCAUCUGCCAAAAGACAUACUAGGUGUACCUCAUUUGUCGAAUCGUACAAAUCAUGCAAACUUCGAAUUUUAGGUUGUCGUGGUUCAUCUUCAUCAUCGGUUGUUUCGGAAUUUAUACUUGUCGGUGAUGAUUCUCCAACUUCAAUCAUAACCUCUGAAGAAUUGUUCCAAUCCCACUCGCUUGCUUCAUUUAUUUGCACAUCACGACUCACCAUCACCUUCUUGCUUAUCGGGUCAAGGAGCUUGUAUCCUUUUGUCUUCUCAUCAUACCCAAUAAAAACAUACCUUUUGCUUUUGUCUUCGAGCUUCGUUCUUCGUUGAUCUGGUACGUGUGCAUAAGCCACACUACCAAACACUUUGAGAUGAGAAACUGUUGGCUUUUGUCCGCUCCAUGCCUCUUGUGGUGUUUGAUCAUCUAACUUCACAUGUGGACAUCGAUUUUGCACAUAGAUGGCGCAUUGCACAGCUUCCGCCCAAAAUUCCUUUGGCAUCUUUUUGCUCUUAAGCAUUGAUCGAACCAUGUCGAGAAUGGUCUGAUUCUUCCUCUCGGCCACACCAUUUUGUUGAGGAGUGUAUGGUGCAGUUAGAAAUCACCUUAUGCCUUGCUCCUCGCAAUACUCCAUGAAAGUCGUUGAAGUAUACUCGCCACCUCUAUCAGAUCGUACAGCUUUGAUCUGUUUAUCAGUUGUCCUCUCCACCAUCACCUUGAACUUUUUGAACACCUCAAAUGCCUCGGAUUUUUCNNNNNNNNNNNNNNNNNNNNNNNNNNNNNNNNNNNNNNNNNNNNNNNNNNNNNNNNNNNNNNNNNNNNNNNNNNNNNNNNNNNNNNNNNNNNNNNNNNNNUUCAGAAAGUAAACCCAAGUUUUUCGUGAGAAAUCAUCAAUGAAGGUAAUGAAAUACCUUUUACCGCUGAAGGAAACUGGAGUAAUUGGUCCACAUAUGUCGGUAUGAAUCAAUUCGAGAGGUUGCUUAGCCCAAUAUUGAGCCUUCUUUGGAAACGAGGUUCUCACAUGCUUGCUGAGCACACAUUCUUCACAAAAUUUUCCCUCGUAGUCCAUGUUGGGUAGCCCGUGCACCAUAUUCUUCUUCUCUAACUCUUUUAGUCCACCAUGAUGUAGGUGACCAAAACGGAGAUGCCACAACGAUGCCUUAUCUUCUAUGUUGACUUGCAAACAUUUUUCUCGUAUGCUUCUCAAAUUUAGCUUGUACAUCCGAUUUCUUGCCAUCUCAAUUCGAGCAACCAAACGCCCUUGCUUGUUCUUCAAGUGUAGGAGUCGAUCUUUCAAAAAUAUCGAGUAACCUUUCUCCGUGAGUUGCCCCAUACUCAAAAUGUUGGUCUUGAGGUCUGGUACGUAAUAAACNNNNNNNNNNNNNNNNNNNNNNNNNNNNNNNNNNNNNNNNNNNNNNNNNNNNNNNNNNNNNNNNNNNNNNNNNNNNNNNNNNNNNNNNNNNNNNNNNNNNNNNNNNNNNNNNNNNNNNNNNNNNNNNNNNNNNNNNNNNNCGCACAUAUGGUUGCUUGCUCCAGAGUCGAGGUACCACAGAGUGUCAUUGUUAAUGUUGACUUCAUCUUGAGCCAUCAAGAGAACACCUUCAUUCGUUUCGACUUCCAAGGCUAGGUUGGUUGUUUCUUCUAUCUUUGUAUCAGCACGACAAUCUUUUGCAAAAUGCCCCACUUUACCACAAUUGUAACAUUUGUCAAAGUUACAAUCCUUCGCAUAGUGACCAUAUUUGUGACAUUUGUAGCACUCGAUGUUGGGAUAAUUCGAUCGGCCGCCUCUUCCUCUACCACGUCCUCUUCCACGCCAAUUUGGUUGGCUCGACUGUUCCUUCUCCUUAUAGUACCUUUUCCACCACGACCGUUUCCACGACUUCCACGACCACGCCCUCUAUAUUGAGAAUUUUGAUGAUAGAGUACCUUUUCGUCUUUGAUUAAUGCCUUGGUUUGAAGUGCUUGCUCGAGUGUUUCCUCCUUCUUCUUCUUCUUUUGAUGCUCGUGUGCCUCGAGAGAACCGGCGAGCUCGUCGACUGUGAGCGUCGCAAGGUCCUUUGACUCUUCUAUCGCGCACACAAUACUCUCAAAAUUGUCUGUUAAUGUUCUCAAAAUCUUCUCCACAACUCGUGCAUCGGUUAGAGUUUCACCGUUUCGGNNNNNNNNNNNNNNNNNNNNNNNNNNNNNNNNNNNNNNNNNNNNNNNNNNNNNNNNNNNNNNNNNNNNNNNNNNNNNNNNNNNNNNNNNNNNNNNNNNNNCCAUCAUCUUCAUGUUCUCCAACUCGCCACGCAGAGUUUGUAGACGCACUUGCUUAACUCGGUCAGCUCCUUUGAACACCUUCUCCAAUAUGUCCCAUGCUUCCUUUGAAGUGGAUGCACCAGCAAUCUUCUCAAAAAUUGCCUCAUCAACAGCUCUAUACAACAUGUACAAAGCUGCCUUAUCUUUCGAUCGCAUCUCUUUCAAUGCCUUGGUUUGAGCUGCCGUAUAACCCGUGGUAUUGGUAGGUUCUUCAAAACCUUCUUCGACCACCUCCCAUGAAUCCUGAGAACCGAGAAGAGCUUUCAUUUGAAUGCUUCAGUUGUCAUAUCUGGUCGCCUUCGUUAACCGUGGUAGCGGUAUUUGACCCGUCACAUUCGCCAUUGGCUCUUGAUACCAAAUUGAAAAAAAACAGACACUCACUCACACUUGAAUUUCUCUAAAAGAAACACUCUUCUUUGAAAUUCUUCUUUGUUGUAUUUCUUUUCUGUGGUGUUGUGAGAGCAUCCUUUUUAUAGGCUUUAGGAAGCUCUUCUAGAAAAGUCUUCAUUAUGGCCUUAAAACCCCACUAACAACACAAUUAAAAUCCCACUCACAACUUUUGACCUUUUACAUAUCCAAACUCUCAUUCUACUCUUUUCUAGUAACUUCUAACUUUAAAACCCACAAAUUACAUUAAAGUUUAUUCAACAAUUCAAACCUUAUAAAAAAAAAGUUUCUAGCAAAACCUACACAUCAAAACUGCAACCAAAAAGGAGUAAAACAGAAUGGUACAUCUGUUAUUGAGAAAGAGAACAUAAAAGCAUAAGCACUGUAGUAGGAUAUAAAGCCACAUUACAUCUUUGGUUCUUCAUUACACAAACAGCUAUAAAUUACUGUGAAGUAAAUAAAAUUAAAACGAAAAACAAAAACAAGAACAACUCUAGGAAUUAAGCUGGGAAGAAAAGUUUCCAUUGACUUGUCAAAAAGAAGAUUUAGGGAAUUCCUCAAUGGAUUGCGGAGUGAGGAGUGGACCAUGUGGUACGCUGUAGAUGUUUGAAGUUGUAAACUCACUUUAAGGAAAGAUGAAGGUGGCAACGGUUUACUCAUAAAAAUCCACAGCAUAAUCCCAGGCAUAACUGGAGAUUUUUCAGUAUACCGUUUUGAUAUGGAUCUAACUGAAUCAGAUUCUCGGGUACAAUCCACCUGGUCGAUCGAUAUCAAUGGAGCCGAGGCAUCGUCAGCGUUUGAUUAUGGCAAGCAGAUUCAUGCAGGAGGCAGCGUUACGAACACACAGUUUAUUUUGUGCGGGACUGGAGACAUAGGAAGUUUUAUUGUUCUGGAACAGAAGAAGAAGAAGGAGGAAGAAGAACGACCUUAUGCAGUGACUCUGGCACACUAUUUUGCUUCCAGUGGCCGUAUUAAUGAUUAUUCUAGAAAGAAAAUAGAUGUUGGUCUUUCUGUAGUGGUAAAGAUUCGAGCAAUCAAUGGCAGUUUGGAUGUAACGGUGGAAGGCACUGACAAACACCCUGCUUUUGGAUUACGUUACUUGUUUGAGGAAGCCAUGAGAAGCAAGAUUUGGAAGCCUACUUUAUGCCCACACUGUGCCAAUAUCCAGAAGCAAAGCAGCAUGAUGACUUCGCAGUCUGACAGUGAUGACAGGGAGAGUGUUCCUGUGGCACGCCGUCAUGGUGAAAACCAGCUUAAUUUAAAAGCUGUUGCCAAUAGUAAUUACACUGAAAAUAAAAAUAAAUAUAUGUUCUUUUGAAAGUGAUGGUGGUAACUGAUGUACCAAAUUUGCUUAGUUUUAGUAUGAAGUAACGUAAUUGGCACUAUGGCAUGAAUAAGCCACCAUCAUGUGAAGAAAAUAAGCCUAGAGGUGUUCUUGUAAAAAAGAAGAUUUAGGGAAGAAAAGAUUCCCUGUUAAUUCAAUUAAUUCUUUGCUGAUAAAAAAGAAAUAUCUAAUCAUGAGCAAACCUGUUAUUCCCUAAUUUCCCUCAUUUCUUUUGAACUCACCCAAAAGUUUUUACCCUUGCACCUUUAACUACUUUUGUUUUUAAUAGAUCUCAUACACACCAUUGGUUCCAUGCACCAAUCAGAGUAAGAAAAACAUGCUAUGCGUAUCUUUGAUGUGACCCAUGACCAAAUUUUCAACUACGCCAUCGUGAAGAUUUCUAUGUGGUUUAUGCAUCCGUUUUUAAACAUCUUCUUGUUUCUUUGUUUUCACACUUCGCCUAUUACUUCUAUACACACACAUUCAAAUUUGAUUGACAGUUUCGCUUUCCUUAAACAACUUGAACAGAAGUGCAUUUUUGGAUCUUGGUGAACCGUCAACGCCAUACCCACCCACUCGUAGCACUUAGACCAGACAAGUCAAGUUAUCUGACAUGUGCAGAAUAGAUGUGACGUUGUUUCCGCCGCCCCCUCUCCACACAUAACACAACUGAUAUUUUCCACGUCUAUCUCCCUUUUCACCAAAUUGGCCUUAAACGACUAUGCCUUAAGUCUCCAAAAACCCCUCAUACAUUGUGGCGUCUUGAACCUGAUCUUCACCUUUUAAAACUCUGUAAGCGGUUUGUAGUGUAAACUUUGUAGUGUCGCAAUCUUUCCAAACCUACAUAUCUUCCUUUUCUUCGGUUAAACUCUUCCUAUCCAACAACGUUAUCAUUUGUUGCUCCUGCUGCUUUUAUGAUCUAUGCAUAACCGCACAUCAUAUAUCAUAUAUAAGAACCAAUUUGCUUUGCACCAAUCUAGUAAUUUUUAUUCGAGAUUAUUUUUUUUGGGUACAUACAAUAUAAUAAAUUUACACUAUGAGAAACAUUGACCAAGUGCUAGUAUAUACAAUGAGAAAAUGGUUUCUUUUAAUAGUUUAUGUGUUUUUUUCUGCAACUAAAUAUUUGAUAUUUUUAGAAAAAAAGUUAGAAUCGUUAGGAAAUUGGUCGUAAACCAACGUCUCAAUGUUUUAAACUGUUAAGAGAAACCAAACAAGAAUAUCAAAUAGAUAAAAAGAAACAAUAAAGUUAAAGAAUCGAAGAAAGUAAGAAUGAGCAACAUAAUGAGUGAAGAAGAUAAACAUGAAAGUGCGCAAUAGAAACACAUGAUAGGGAAUUAGAUGCUGUGAAAUUGAAUUAUUGUGCGGAAGAACAACGCUUGGUUUGCAUAUAAGGUGGAAAGAUUCUAUACUCUACACACUAAAGAGUUCAUAAAUAUCCCCAUUAACAUCCCAACCAAGCAUAUCAGAGAAAACCUACCUCAGUACCCACAUAGAUUAACUGGGAAGUGAGUUCUCCAUACUCUAUCCCAUGCACUAACCCUAAAUAUUUCUAUACCCUUAUCUCUCCAAACUCAUCAUCCCACAGAUACUCCAUUUCCGUUCUUAAUUUGUUGGCUUUAGAUGGGAAACAGUAUUCGCAGAGUUGGUCUUCUGAAUACUGUUGGGGUGGGGGAGGAUCAACCUUUUCACUAUCAGCUGGGAAGAAAAGUUUCCAUUGACUUGUAAAAAGAAGAAAUUAGGGAAUAGCAGGUUUGCUCAUGAUUAGAUAUUUCUUUUUUAUCAGCAAAGAAUUAAUUGAAUUAACAGGGGACCACUUUAGGGGUAUCCCAACCCGUAUACAAAAACCAAGAUCUUGAGCAUAUAAGUGCUUCCUGAUCAUUCCUACAUUCCUAGCAGAAAAGACCAGACUAGCCUAGCUCAAUGAUUAGAGAUUUGUUUUAGUAAGGUGUAUGUUCUCUUGUAUAAUAGUUGAUGUAUCACUGAAAUAUCUCCCAUUUGUAUAUUCUUUUCUUAUCGAUAAAAAAAAAUAGAUAAUAACCUAUCUUAUUUAAUACUAGAUUUAUAUGCUAAAAUAAAGAUCAAUUAUAUAUUUUUUCUUGGAAUAACAUUUAUUAUAAAGUUUUAGAAAAUAUAUGUCGGUCAAGUAGUACUGCUUCACAAAUGUUAAUAAUAUAUAGUUUAGAAAAACUUUACAAAUAACCAAUUCUUCUUCAACACAUUCAAAUAUUAUAAGGUACCCAAAAAAAAAUUAAAAUUGCCAAAUCCAAUUUUUAAUUAUCCAAAUCUAUAUUACUUUUAAUCCAUCUAAAUUCAUAUUUUUGGAUUUUAAGUCCAAUCCAUUUAAUUGGAUAUGAAUUAGAUAUAUAUUGGAUAUAUUUUUGGAUUAUUCAAAAUGGAUUUUAGGUUGGAUUUUGACUUAGACCGGACCUAGGAUGAGUCGAGUCAAUCCGAGCCUAGGACGAGCAAAGUCGGUCCGAGUUGAUCAGGGCCCAAGUCGAUCCCAAUCGAUCCGAGCCAAAGACGAGCCCAAUCGAUUUGUGCCCAAGUCAAGCCUAGUCGGCCAAGGCCGAAUUCGAGCCAACCAAAAGUUGAGUCGAAUCAACCCGGGCUAAAGUCAAGCUGAGUGGGUUAGAGCCUAAGUCGAUUUGGCACCAAGCCCAUGUCGAGCCAAGUUGACCCAAGCCCAUGUUGAGCCAAAUCGACCCAGGCCCAUGUCGAGUCAAGUUGACAUGGGCCCAUGUCAAUCUGAGUCGGCAUGGGCCCAUGUCAACCCGAGUCAACCAAGGCCCAUGUCAACCCGAGUCAACCUAGGCCCAUAACGAGCCUAGUCAACCCGGCCAUGGCGAGCCGAGUCGUCUCGGGCCCAUGGCGAGUCGAGUCGACCCUAGCCCAUGUCAAGCCGAGUCAGCUCAGACCUAUGUCGAGCUGAUUCGGCCCAGGCCCUUGUUGAUCUGAGUCGCCCACGUCCAUGUCCAGCCAACUCGACCAGAGCCCAUGCAAUCUGAGUCAACCCGGGCCAAUGUCGAGCAGAGUCGGCCUAGGCCCAUGUCUGUUCGAGUCGGCUCGAGACCAUGUCGAGCUGAAUGGACCUGGGCCGAUGUUGAGUCGAGUCGGUUUGGGCCCGUGUCGAGCCAAGUCGACCCGGACCCAUGUCGAGUCGAGUCGACCCGAACCCAUGUCGAGUCGAGUCGACCCGAACCCAUGUCGAGUUAAGUCAACCCAUAACCAUGUCAAGCCAAGUCGGUUCGGGUCGAUGUCGAGCUAAGUCGGCUUGGACCCAUAUCAAGCUGAGUACGCCCAAGCCCACGUCCAUCCGAGUUUACCCGCCAUGUCAAGGCGAGUCAGCCCAGGUCCAUAUCCAUCCGAGUCGACCCAGACUCAUGUCAAAUCGACCAAUAUACUUUGACCUUCACCUAAAGCCCAUUCAAAUUUGUCUUCAAAGAUAUUCCCUCGGUCCUCCACACCCCAUAUAUUCUUCAUGUUCCUCUACCAUUGGGAUUCCUUGUGAUUCCUAAUAUUAUUUUUUAAUCUCUCCAUUCGUCGUAUUUUGAAUCUAAAACUUCCUUCUACAGACGUUCCAACUUUUCGUGACAUUGACAAAUCUAUUUUCUUAAUAAGACAUUAUUGAAAAUCCUAAUAUCUUUAACACAUUCCUCUUCUUUCUUCGAAUCACAUACCUCCUCCCAACCAACCCAUGUUUUUCCUUCCAUCCUUUCCAUACCCAAAGAAACUUCUUUUGGACUCUCUUAAUGGUGACAUUUUGAAGAAAGACAUAUUACAAAGGAGCAAAGAGAGUUAAGCAAGUACGUAGUAAGGGAUUAAUUUUUUUAAUAAGUAUAAUUAUAUAUUUUAUUACUCGACUAUUAUUAUAAACUUUAUUGUAUAAUUUUUAACACAUUUAAUAUCACGUUUUUCAAUUUUAUUGAUUAUUUAAAUAACUAAGUGUGUUGUAUGAUAAAAAAAAGACGUAAAAAUGGUUUGUUUUUUAAAAAAAAAUUAUAUAAAAUUAUGUUAUCUUAAAUAUAUGUAUAUAAUAUUUUUUUAUCAACAAAUAAUUAAUUAAUUAAAUAAAGCUUCAUUCAUUAUCAUUCUCCCCAGCCCCAACAGCAGCGAGAAGACCAACUCUGCGAAUACUGUUUCUCAUCUAAAAGGCAACAAAUUAAGAACACAAGAGAGUGUCUGGGAUGAUAAGUUUGGAAAGAUGAUGGUAUAGAAAUAUAUAUAGGAUUAGGUAGGUUUUCUCUGCUAUGCACUUGCUUCGGGUGUUAAUGGGGAAUCAAUGAACUUUUUGCUAGACAAAGUCAUUUUGUCAUGCUCAUGGUAACAAAAAUUCAAAAUCAAUAAUUAAGUGCAAGUUAAAAAAAAAAUAUUUUUUUUAAAAAUGAUACAGAUAAUCACAUAAGUAAACAAGAUACAGACAGAACAACAAAAUUUAUUAUUGCUAAAGAAAACAUAAAGUGCAAGCAACAAGGUUACAAUUGGGUUCUGCAUAAUAUACACAACCACUGGCUAAACAAAAAGCUUAUUUUCUUCUUCCAAGAUUGUCUUGUCACCGUCUUUUUGGGAAAAUCAUAACAUUUUCAAAAAAAUUACCAUUACCGUUUCCCUUGAACCUUCCACCAUUGGAGACCCCUCUUGCACUUUUGGGGGUGGCAACAGGUACUGGUAUGGAAACACUGUCACUGUCUUCACUGUCAGACUG